Molecule: unclassified non-coding RNA, 293 nt
Filed under: rhizosphere metagenome
Description: partial ribosomal RNA internal transcribed spacer region
Source: RNAcentral
GUAGGUGAACCUGCGGAAGGAUCAUUAUUGAAUAAGCUUGGUUGGGUUGUUGCUGGUUCUCCAGAGCAUGUGCACGCCUGACAACCAACCUUUUUUUACCACCUGUGCACCUUUUGUAGACCUGGAUAUCUCUCGAGGAAACUCGGUUUUGAGGAUUGCCGUGCGCAAGCCGGCUUUCCUUACACUUCCGGUCUAUGUUUUUAUAUACCCCUACACAUGUUUUAGAAUGUCAUUAACGGGCUUAACUGCCUUUAAAAUCUAUACAACUUUCAACAACGGAUCUCUUGGCUCUC